This 449-nucleotide ribosomal RNA is filed under the name uncultured bacterium. Its description in RNAcentral is "partial 16S ribosomal RNA". It matches the Rfam family "Bacterial small subunit ribosomal RNA", at positions 29 to 523 of the family's 1533-position model. The record is from RNAcentral.
AGCGAACGCUGGCGGCAGGCCUAACACAUGCAAGUCGAACGGAUCCUUCGGGAUUAGUGGCGGACGGGUGAGUAACACGUGGGAACGUGCCCUUUGGUUCGGAACAACUCAGGGAAACUUGAGCUAAUACCGGAUGUGCCCUUCGGGGGAAAGAUUUAUCGCCAUUGGAGCGGCCCGCGUCUGAUUAGCUAGUUGGUGAGGUAAAGGCUCACCAAGGCGACGAUCAGUAGCUGGUCUGAGAGGAUGAUCAGCCACAUUGGGACUGAGACACGGCCCAAACUCCUACGGGAGGCAGCAGUGGGGAAUCUUGCGCAAUGGGCGAAAGCUUGGCGCAGCCAUGCCGCGUGAAUGAUGAAGGUCUUAGGAUUGUAAAAUUCUUUCACCGGGGACGAUAAUGACGGUACCCGGAGAAGAAGCCCCGGCUAACUUCGUGCCAGCAGCCGCCGUAA